Molecule: ribosomal RNA, 1370 nt
Filed under: uncultured bacterium
Lineage: Bacteria
Description: bacterial SSU rRNA
Rfam family: Bacterial small subunit ribosomal RNA
Source: RNAcentral
AGAGUUUGAUCCUGGCUCAGAACGAACUCUGGCGGCGUGGAUAAGACAUGCAAGUCGAACGAGAGAAUUGCUAGCUUGCUAAUAAUUCUCUAGUGGCGCACGGGUGAGUAACACGUGAGUAACCUGCCCCCGAGAGCGGGAUAGCCCUGGGAAACUGGGAUUAAUACCGCAUAGUAUCGAAAGAUUAAAGCAGCAAUGCGCUUGGGGAUGGGCUCGCGGCCUAUUAGUUAGUUGGUGAGGUAACGGCUCACCAAGGCGAUGACGGGUAGCCGGUCUGAGAGGAUGUCCGGCCACACUGGAACUGAGACACGGUCCAGACACCUACGGGUGGCAGCAGUCGAGAAUCAUUCACAAUGGGGGAAACCCUGAUGGUGCGACGCCGCGUGGGGGAAUGAAGGUCUUCGGAUUGUAAACCCCUGUCAUGUGGGAGCAAAUUAAAAAGAUAGUACCACAAGAGGAAGAGACGGCUAACUCUGUGCCAGCAGCCGCGGUAAUACAGAGGUCUCAAGCGUUGUUCGGAAUCACUGGGCGUAAAGCGUGCGUAGGCUGUUUCGUAAGUCGUGUGUGAAAGGCGCGGGCUCAACCCGCGGACGGCACAUGAUACUGCGAGACUAGAGUAAUGGAGGGGGAACCGGAAUUCUCGGUGUAGCAGUGAAAUGCGUAGAUAUCGAGAGGAACACUCGUGGCGAAGGCGGGUUCCUGGACAUUAACUGACGCUGAGGCACGAAGGCCAGGGGAGCGAAAGGGAUUAGAUACCCCUGUAGUCCUGGCAGUAAACGGUGCACGCUUGGUGUGCGGGGAAUCGACCCCCUGCGUGCCGGAGCUAACGCGUUAAGCGUGCCGCCUGGGGAGUACGGUCGCAAGAUUAAAACUCAAAGAAAUUGACGGGGACCCGCACAAGCGGUGGAGUAUGUGGCUUAAUUCGAUGCAACGCGAAGAACCUUACCUGGGCUUGACAUGUAAUGAACAACAUGUGAAAGCAUGCGACUCUUCGGAGGCGCUACACAGGUGCUGCAUGGCCGUCGUCAGCUCGUGUCGUGAGAUGUUUGGUUAAGUCCAGCAACGAGCGCAACCCCUGUUGCCAGUUACCAGCACGUGAAGGUGGGGACUCUGGCGAGACUGCCCAGAUCAACUGGGAGGAAGGUGGGGACGACGUCAGGUCAGUAUGGCCCUUAUGCCCAGGGCUGCACACGUACUACAAUGCCCAGUACAGAGGGGGCCGAAGCCGCGAGGCGGAGGAAAUCCUAAAAACUGGGCCCAGUUCGGACUGUAGGCUGCAACCCGCCUACACGAAGCCGGAAUCGCUAGUAAUGGCGCAUCAGCUACGGCGCCGUGAAUACGUUCCCGGGUCUUGCACUCACCGCCCGUCA